ACGGGUGAGUAACACGUGAGCAAUCUGCCCUUCUCUUCGGAAUAAGCGUUGGAAACGACGUCUAAUGCCGAAUACGACCUCCUUUCGCAUGAUCGGAGGUGGAAAGCUCCGGCGGAGAGGGAUGAGCUCGCGGCCUAUCAGCUAGUUGGUGUGGGUAAUGGCCCACCAAGGCGACGACGGGUAGCCGGCCUGAGAGGGUGACCGGCCACACUGGGACUGAGACACGGCCCAGACUCCUACGGGAGGCAGCAGUGGGGAAUAUUGGACAAUGGGCGAAAGCCUGAUCCAGCAACGCCGCGUGAGGGAUGACGGCCUUCGGGUUGUAAACCUCUUUCAGCAGGGACGAAGCGAAAGUGACGGUACCUGCAGAAGAAGGACCGGCCAACUACGUGCCAGCAGCCGCGGUAAUACGUAGGGUCCGAGCGUUGUCCGGAAUUAUUGGGCGUAAAGGGCUCGUAGGCGGUUUGUCACGUCGGGAGUGAAAACUCAGGGCUCAACCCUGAGCGUGCUUCCGAUACGGGCAGACUAGAGGUAUGCAGGGGAGAACGGAAUUCCUGGUGUAGCGGUGGAAUGCGCAGA
RNAcentral lists this ribosomal RNA (579 nucleotides) under uncultured bacterium. RNAcentral's name for it is "bacterial SSU rRNA". It matches the Rfam family "Bacterial small subunit ribosomal RNA", at positions 102 to 694 of the family's 1533-position model. The record is from RNAcentral.